This 506-nucleotide ribosomal RNA is filed under the name uncultured bacterium. RNAcentral describes it as "partial 16S ribosomal RNA". It matches the Rfam family "Bacterial small subunit ribosomal RNA", at positions 28 to 523 of the family's 1533-position model. The record is from RNAcentral.
GAUGAACGCUAGCGGCAGGCCUAGCACAUGCAAGUCGAGGGGCAGCACAUAAAGUGGUUUACUACUUUUGGUGGCGACCGGCGGACGAGUGCGUAACGCGUAUGCAACCUGCCUCCAACAGGGGGAUAACGGAGAGAAAUUUCCACUAAUACCCCAUAAUAUCAGAAUCGGCAUCGGUUUUGGUUGAAAACUCCGGUGGUUGGAGAUGGGCAUGCGUUGUAUUAGAUAGUUGGUGAGGUAACGGCGCACCAAGUCAACGAUACAUAGGGGGACUGAGAGGUUAGCCCCCCACACUGGUACUGAGACACGGACCAGACUCCUAUGGGAGGCAGCAGUGAGGAAUAUUGGUCAAUGGGGGCAACCCUGAACCAGCCAUGCCGCGUGCAGGAAGACGGCUCUAUGAGUUGUAAACUGCUUUUACAAGGGGAUAAAUCGGUGUACGUGUACACCGUUGAAGGUACCUUGGGAAUAAGGAUCGGCUAACUCCGUGCCAGCCGCCGCCGUAA